This 214-nucleotide long non-coding RNA is filed under the name Elaeis guineensis (African oil palm). RNAcentral describes it as "long non-coding RNA (EGUI_LNC046250)". Lineage: Eukaryota; Viridiplantae; Streptophyta; Magnoliopsida; Arecales; Arecaceae. The record is from RNAcentral.
UGUAGGAGUUUGGAGCAGAUCGCUCGCUGUAGGAGUUCGGAGUAGACCGCUCGCAGUAGAAGUUCGGAGUAGACCGCUCGCUGUAGAAGUUCAGAGUAGACCGCUCGCAGUAGAAGUUCGGAGUAGACCGCUCGCUGUAGGAGUUCAGAGUAGACCGCUCGUAGUAGAAGUUCAGAGUAGACCGCUCGUAGUAGAAGUUCGGAGUAGACCGCUC